This 1314-nucleotide ribosomal RNA is filed under the name Ruspolia sp. ZJZ-2017. RNAcentral describes it as "16S ribosomal RNA". The stretch from base 607 to 1314 matches the Rfam family "Archaeal large subunit ribosomal RNA", at positions 1423 to 2807 of the family's 2987-position model. Lineage: Eukaryota; Metazoa; Arthropoda; Insecta; Orthoptera; Tettigoniidae. The record is from RNAcentral.
AAGUAAAUAUUUAUUAAUAUAAGUUUGUUUAUAGAUAGUUUAAGAAAGUAAUUGUAUAAAUUUAUAGUUUUAGUAUAGACGUGUGAAUAAAUUUUUGUAAUAAUAGUUAAUUAGUACCGUAGGGGAAGAUUGAAAUAUAUGAAAAUAUAUUUAAUGAAAAGCAGAUUGAUGGUUGUACCUUGUGUAUCAGGGUUUAUUAAAUUGUUGAUAUAGAUUUAUUAUUCCCGAAUUAAGUGGAGCUAAUAUGUUAUUUUAAUUAAUGUUGCAUAAUUAUUAAUAAUAACAUAUUUGAAGUGAAAUGUUUCCGUUACUUAGGGUAUCUGGUUUUUUAAGAAAUAAAUUUAAUUUAGUUUAAGUUUUGUAUUUAUUUUAUUUAUAAAUUGAAUUAUAAAAUUUAAAUAAUAAUCUUGGGGAUAAGCUCUGGAUUAUAAAUUAAAAUUUUUUUAAGAUUUAUUUAAUUGUAGGCUUUAAAUUAGCUAUCAGUUGAGAAAUUGUUAUAAAUUAUUAUAUUUAAGGAUGAUUUUAAAAAGGUUUAAUUUGUUUAUUAAAAUGACCUAUAGAAUAACUUUAUAGGUGUAAUUAUGAUAAAAUUAGUAUAUUUAAAUUUGCUUAGAGUUUUAUUUUAUUAAUUUAUAUAAAGGAAUUCGGCAAAAUUUGUGUUCGCCUGUUUAACAAAAACAUGUCUUUUUGAGGUUUAUUUAAAGUCGGGCCUGCCCACUGAAUUUUAUUGAAUGGCCGCGGUAUCUUGACCGUGCAAAGGUAGCAUAAUCAUUAGUCUUUUAAUUGAAGGCUGGAAUGAAUGGUUUGACGAAACAUAAGCUGUCUCUGUAUAAUGAAUAGAAUUUGUCUUUUUAGUUAAAAGACUUAAAUGACGAUAAGGGACGAGAAGACCCUAUAGAGCUUUAUAUAAAUAUAUGUUAUUUAAAUUUUAGUUGUUUUGUUAUUUAUUAUAUAUUUAUAUUAUGUUGGGGUGACAUAAAGAUAAGUUUAACUCUUUAUUUUUAUAAACAUAGAUUUAUGGAUAUUUGAUCCGGUAUUAUUGAUUAAAAGAUAAAGUUACCUUAGGGAUAACAGCGUAAUCUUUCUUGAGAGUUCAUAUCGAAAGAGGGGUUUGCGACCUCGAUGUUGGAUUAAGAAAAUGAUUAAAUGUAGCAGUUUAAUUAAUAGGUCUGUUCGACCUUUAAAUUCUUACAUGAUCUGAGUUCAGACCGGCGUGAGCCAGGUCGGUUUCUAUCUUUGUUUAAAUAAAAUAUUUUAGUACGAAAGGACCAAAUAUGAGAAAUAAUUUUUUAAUGUGGAAUUUUAUUAAAUUUA